UAAAACGUAGGAGGCAAGCGUUAUCCGGAGUUACUGGGCGUAAAGAGCGUGUAGGCGGGCUGGCAAGUCUGGUGUGAAAGCUCCCGGCUAAACUGGGAGAGUGCAUUGGAGACUGCCAAUCUAGAGGCUGUCAGAGGGUCGUGGAAUUCCGGGUGUAGUGGUGAAAUGCGUAGAGAUCCGGAGGAACACCAGUGGCGAAGGCGACGACCUGGGGCAGAACUGACGCUGAGACGCGAAAGCACGGGGAGCGAACGGGAUUAGAAACCCCGGUAGUCCGUGCCGUAAACGAUGCACACUAGGUGUUCGGGGGCCUACGGGCUUUUGAGUGCCGCAGCUAACGCGAUAAGUGUGCCGCCUGGGGAGUACGGUCGCAAGGCUA
RNAcentral lists this ribosomal RNA (379 nucleotides) under uncultured bacterium. RNAcentral describes it as "bacterial SSU rRNA". It matches the Rfam family "Bacterial small subunit ribosomal RNA", at positions 521 to 896 of the family's 1533-position model. The record is from RNAcentral.